RNAcentral lists this long non-coding RNA (1516 nucleotides) under Gallus gallus (chicken). The record is from RNAcentral. Lineage: Eukaryota; Metazoa; Chordata; Aves; Galliformes; Phasianidae.
UGUACUUGAAGGUGUUUGCCUUUGCAUAAAGUGACAUAGGAGUAUCAUUGGUCAAGGCAAUGGCUUUCAGUGUUUCUGCUUUGAAAGAAGAUGAUGGAAGUGGUGGCUCGGAUCUACAGGUCAUCGCUCUCUACCAAACCAGACUGCAUUGUCAGAUGGACUGGAUUUGCCUCUGGCUGGAAAGCUGCUUUGAUGUCUAGUCCUUGGUCACACAGUGCAGCGUAUCGGCUGGUUGAGGGCCGCACCUUCUUUGGCUUGGUUGUUUGAGGUGGUUGUUGCCACUGAGUGUAAACAUCCAACCUGGCAGUGCAAGACACAAUCCCGGCCUCAUUCUUAGCUGAAACGGUGUACCAACCAGCAUCCUCUUUUGUAGCUCCCUGAAUAAGCAGGCAGAUGUAGCCAUAGUUGUCCUGGUGCAUGCUCACUCUGUCAGUAUUGUGUGUGAUUGACUCGUUCUCUUUCUUCCAAAAUAUCUGAGGUGAUGGUUCCCCCGAGAUUCGACACUCCAGUCGCACUGGAAAUCCCUCAGUCACACCUGUGUUCUGUAGUUUCUCUAUAAACACAGGUGCUUUGUGUACUUCCUUAGCUGCAACAAUGAGCUCCAGGCUGAAUGUAUUUUCUCCAGCUCGAUUGCUGGCGACACACGUGUAGAUUCCCGCAUCCCUCGCGGUGACCGGUUCUAUGAUCAGGGAGUGCACCCCGUUCUCACGCACCAGCAUUUUGUGAGAGCUGUCAGGACGAAUGGGUCUUCCAUUUAGUUGCCAGCUUAGAUCAGGUGUUGGUAAUCCACUAACCUUGCAGUCCAUCCUGCAGAGUUUUCCUUCUUGGACAGUCAGGUCUCCAGGGGCCUGCAGAAAAUGGGGCCGGAAGAAUCGCUCCUGAAUUGGUUCGUUUUCAUCACCACUGUCCCUUGAUCGAGACCGCGGCCUUCUGAUAUGAGGCUGGCCAGGAGGUGUCCAAGGGCUGCGGCCUCUCUGAUUUACAGCCUGAACCAUCAGCCUUCCUGUGCAGCUUAUUCUGCCCUGUGGGUUAGCAGCCAUAAUAGUGUAAUUCCCAUCAUCAUCCAGGGUGGAGGCUGCAGUAUGCAGUGAGCAAGUUCCAUCAGGUUCUCUUUGAAUUCGGUAGUGAUCACUUCUCUUAGAAAUUUGCUUCCCAUCUUUAAACCAAUAAAUCUUUGGCUUUGGAUUUCCCGUCACUUUGCAGGUAAAUGUGACUGGCAUUCCCUCAAAGACUUUGUAAUGCUUCAGCUUUAUCUCAAAAUAUGGUGACGCACUGUUAUCAAUAGGUUCAUCUCCAUGUUGCACCUCAUCAUCUGAUUCCUCCACAGGAGAUCUCUCCAGCCUGUAUUCAAUUUCACUGAUCAAUCUUUGCUCAAAGCUGGAGACUUUAUAUUCCUGUAUUGCAGGCUCCUCUUCUGGUUCCUGUAUAUUGAAGACAGUUGCAGCACUGUCUGCUCCCAGCAAUCGACGAGCCAUUUUUUCUUCAUAUGUUAAUCUCGGUUGCCCGUUGUUCAAAA